Cicer arietinum (chickpea) is the source of this 507-nucleotide long non-coding RNA. RefSeq lists it as uncharacterized. The record is from RefSeq and is a predicted model, not a curated record. Lineage: Eukaryota; Viridiplantae; Streptophyta; Magnoliopsida; Fabales; Fabaceae.
CAAAUAUACAACAAUUUUUUUGUUCUUCUGCGUGACUAUUACAAUGUUUCGGAUAACAUAGUUCUUUCGACCAAACCAUAGUUAAACGACUUUUGAUGCUACUCACAACUUUUUAUGAAGCAUUGAUUUUUUCAAUAUUCUUUACCUAGGCUGGUAGUGAUUAUGAGGAUAAUGAGAGUGAUUGUGAUGAGAAGGUUGAAGAUGUAGCAGUCGAAUCUGCCACUGACCUUGAUAAAUACCGUGUGGGAGACAAAAUGGCUAAAACACCUGCAUAGAAGCUGUAAAUUCUUUUGGUUGCGGUUUCUGUUCAGUUUGAUAUUAAUCCAGGGCUUAGUGGGCAUAUGCCCAUAAGUGUGUGGAAAAAAUGUGUUUAGAAUAUGUUGUCAUCCUUGAUAUUCUAAUUCAGUUUUUUCAAACAGAAAGGUUGACAAUUUGGGCUAAGUUAGUUGCGUUAUUUUGUUUAUACAUGAAGCUACAAUAAAAUAUUGUCACGAUUUUAAUUGUUCA